Molecule: ribosomal RNA, 1343 nt
Filed under: uncultured bacterium
Lineage: Bacteria
Description: 16S ribosomal RNA
Rfam family: Bacterial small subunit ribosomal RNA
Source: RNAcentral
GACGAACGCUGGCGGCGUGCUUAACACAUGCAAGUCGAACGGAAAGGCCCUGCUUUUGUGGGGUGCUCGAGUGGCGAACGGGUGAGUAACACGUGAGUAACCUGCCCUUGACUUUGGGAUAACUUCAGGAAACUGGGGCUAAUACCGGAUAGGAGCUCCUGCUGCAUGGUGGGGGUUGGAAAGUUUCGGCGGUUGGGGAUGGACUCGCGGCUUAUCAGCUUGUUGGUGGGGUAGUGGCUCACCAAGGCUUUGACGGGUAGCCGGCCUGAGAGGGUGACCGGCCACAUUGGGACUGAGAUACGGCCCAGACUCCUACGGGAGGCAGCAGUGGGGAAUAUUGCACAAUGGGCGGAAGCCUGAUGCAGCAACGCCGCGUGCGGGAUGACGGCCUUCGGGUUGUAAACCGCUUUCGCCUGUGACGAAGCGUGAGUGACGGUAAUGGGUAAAGAAGCACCGGCUAACUACGUGCCAGCAGCCGCGGUGAUACGUAGGGUGCGAGCAUUGUCCGGAUUUAUUGGGCGUAAAGGGCUCGUAGGUGGUUGAUCGCGUCGGAAGUGUAAUCUUGGGGCUUAACCCUGAGCGUGCUUUCGAUACGGGUUGACUUGAGGAAGGUAGGGGAGAAUGGAAUUCCUGGUGGAGCGGUGGAAUGCGCAGAUAUCAGGAGGAACACCAGUGGCGAAGGCGGUUCUCUGGGCCUUCCCUGACGCUGAGGAGCGAAAGCGUGGGGAGCGAACAGGCUUAGAUACCCUGGUAGUCCACGCUGUAAACGGUGGGUACUAGGUGUGGGGUCCAUUCCACGGGUUCCGUGCCGUAGCUAACGCUUUAAGUACCCCGCCUGGGGAGUACGGCCGCAAGGCUAAAACUCAAAGGAAUCGACGGGGCCCCGCACAAGCGGCGGAGCAUGCGGAUUAAUUCGAUGCAACGCGUAGAACCUUACCUGGGUUUGACAUGGAUCGGGAGCGCUCAGAGAUGGGUGUGCCUCUUUUGGGGUCGGUUCACAGGUGGUGCAUGGCUGUCGUCAGCUCGUGUCGUGAGAUGUUGGGUUAAGUCCCGCAACGAGCGCAACCCUUGUUCACUGUUGCCAGCACGUUAUGGUGGGGACUCAGUGGAGACCGCCGGGGUCAACUCGGAGGAAGGUGGGGAUGACGUCAAGUCAUCAUGCCCCUUAUGUCCAGGGCUUCACGCAUGCUACAAUGGCUGGUACAGAGAGUGGCGAGCCUGUGAGGGUGAGCGAAUCUCGGAAAGCCGGUCUCAGUUCGGAUUGGGGUCUGCAACUCGACCUCAUGAAGUCGGAGUCGCUAGUAAUCGCAGAUCAGCAACGCUGCGGUGAAUACGUUCCCGGG